AGCAGCAGCCGCGGUAAUACGUAGGUCCCGAGCGUUGUCCGGAUUUAUUGGGCGUAAAGCGAGCGCAGGCGGUUAGAUAAGUCUGAAGUUAAAGGCUGUGGCUUAACCAUAGUACGCUUUGGAAACUGUUUAACUUGAGUGCAAGAGGGGAGAGUGGAAUUCCGUGUGUAGCGGUGAAAUGCGUAGAUAUAUGGAGGAACACCGGUGGCGAAAGCGGCUCUCUGGCUUGUAACUGACGCUGAGGCUCGAAAGCGUGGGGAGCAAACAGGAUUAGAUACCCGAGUAGUCCCUGUCUCUUAUACC
RNAcentral lists this ribosomal RNA (303 nucleotides) under uncultured bacterium. RNAcentral describes it as "partial 16S ribosomal RNA". It matches the Rfam family "Bacterial small subunit ribosomal RNA", at positions 507 to 808 of the family's 1533-position model. The record is from RNAcentral.